RNAcentral lists this ribosomal RNA (469 nucleotides) under Salmonella enterica. Its description in RNAcentral is "bacterial SSU rRNA". It matches the Rfam family "Bacterial small subunit ribosomal RNA", at positions 1 to 468 of the family's 1533-position model. Lineage: Bacteria; Pseudomonadati; Pseudomonadota; Gammaproteobacteria; Enterobacterales; Enterobacteriaceae. The record is from RNAcentral. RNAcentral also lists the same sequence under 2 other names.
AAAUUGAAGAGUUUGAUCAUGGCUCAGAUUGAACGCUGGCGGCAGGCCUAACACAUGCAAGUCGAACGGUAGCACAGAGAGCUUGCUCUCGGGUGACGAGUGGCGGACGGGUGAGUAAUGUCUGGGAAACUGCCUGAUGGAGGGGGAUAACUACUGGAAACGGUGGCUAAUACCGCAUAACGUCGAAAGACCAAAGAGGGGGACCUUCGGGCCUCUUGCCAUCAGAUGUGCCCAGAUGGGAUUAGCUUGUUGGUGAGGUAACGGCUCACCAAGGCGACGAUCCCUAGCUGGUCUGAGAGGAUGACCAGCCACACUGGAACUGAGACACGGUCCAGACUCCUACGGGAGGCAGCAGUGGGGAAUAUUGCACAAUGGGCGCAAGCCUGAUGCAGCCAUGCCGCGUGUAUGAAGAAGGCCUUCGGGUUGUAAAGUACUUUCAGCGGGGAGGAAGGUGUUGUGGUUAAUAACC